GUAGGAUAGAGGCCUACCAUGGUGGUAACGGGUAANGGGGUGUUAGGGCACGACACCGGAGAGGGAGCCUGAGAAACGGCUACCACAUCCAAGGAUGGCAGCAGGCGCGCAAAUUACCCAAUCCCGACACGGGGAGGUAGUGACAAUAAAUAACAAUACGGGGUUCUUUCGGAUCUCGUAAUUGGAAUGAGUACAAUUUAAAUCUCUUAACGAGGAACAAUUGGAGGGCAAGUCUGGUGCCAGCAGCCGCGGUAAUUCCAGCUCCAAUAGCGUAUAUUAAAGUUGUUGCAGUUAAAAAGCUCGUAGUUGAAUUUCGGGAUCAAUAUGUUGGUCGUGCCUCGGUACGUACUGGCGUCAUUGGUUUCUACCUUCUGAAGAACCUCGAUGUCAUUAAUUUGGUGUCUUGGGAAUCAGGACUGUUACUUUGAAAAAAUUAGAGUGUUUAAAGCAGGCUCACGCUUGAAUACAUUAGCAUGGAAUAAUGAAAUAGGACGUUUGAUUCUAUUUUGUUGGUUUCUAGGAUCGACGUAAUGAUUAAUAGGGAUAGUUGGGGGCAUUAGUAUUCAAUUGUCAGAGGUGAAAUUCUUGGAUUUAUUGAAGACUAACUACUGCGAAAGCAUUUGCCAAGGAUGUUUUCAUUAAUCAAGAACGAAAGUUAGGGGAUCGAAGACGAUCAGAUACCGUCGUAGUCUUAACCAUAAACUAUGCCGACUAGGGAUCGGAUGAUGUUAAUUUUUUAAUGACUCAUUCGGCGCCUUACGGGAAACCAAAGUGUUUGGGUUC
RNAcentral lists this ribosomal RNA (783 nucleotides) under uncultured Glomus. Its description in RNAcentral is "SSU rRNA". It matches the Rfam family "Eukaryotic small subunit ribosomal RNA", at positions 328 to 1114 of the family's 1831-position model. Lineage: Eukaryota; Fungi; Glomeromycota; Glomeromycetes; Glomerales; Glomeraceae. The record is from RNAcentral.